AUUGAACGCUGGCGGCAGGCCUAACACAUGCAAGUCGAAUGGUAACAGGAAACAGCUUGCUGUUUCGCUGACGAGUGGCGGACGGGUGAGUAAUGUCUGGGAAACUGCCUGAUGGAGGGGGAUAACUACUGGAAACGGUAGCUAAUACCGCAUAACGUCGCAAGACCAAAGAGGGGGACCUUCGGGCCUCUUGCCAUCAGAUGUGCCCAGAUGGGAUUAGCUAGUAGGUGGGGUAACGGCUCACCUAUGCGACGAUCCCUAGCUGGUCUGAGAGGAUGACCAGCCACACUGGAACUGAGCCACGGUCCAGACUCCUACGGGAGGCAGCAGUGGGGAAUAUUGCACCAUGGGCGCAAGCCUGAUGCAGCCAUGCCGCGUGGAUGAAGAAGCCCUUCGGGCUGUAAACUACUUUCAGCUGGGAGUACGCUAGUCAUGGUAAUACCCAGUCUCCUUCACGUCCCCCUCAGAAGCACGUCCCCCUCACCACCUG
RNAcentral lists this ribosomal RNA (490 nucleotides) under uncultured bacterium. RNAcentral describes it as "partial 16S ribosomal RNA". It matches the Rfam family "Bacterial small subunit ribosomal RNA", at positions 30 to 507 of the family's 1533-position model. The record is from RNAcentral.